UACGGGGGGGGCAAGCGUUGUUCGGAAUUACUGGGCGUAAAGGGCGCGUAGGUGGCCAACUAAGUCAGACGUGAAAUCCCUCGGCUUAACCGGGGAACUGCGUCUGAUACUGGAUGGCUUGAGUUUGGGAGAGGGAUGCGGAAUUCCAGGUGUAGCGGUGAAAUGCGUAGAUAUCUGGAGGAACACCGGUGGCGAAGGCGGCCAACUGGACGAAGACUGACGCUGAGACACGAAAGCGUGGGGAGCAAACAGG
RNAcentral lists this ribosomal RNA (253 nucleotides) under uncultured bacterium. RNAcentral's name for it is "partial 16S ribosomal RNA". It matches the Rfam family "Bacterial small subunit ribosomal RNA", at positions 524 to 776 of the family's 1533-position model. The record is from RNAcentral.